GCGUAGGUGGCUUUUUAAGUCAGGGGUGAAAGACGGUAGCUUAACUAUCGCAGUGCCUUUGAUACUGAAGAGCUUGAAUGAACUAGAGGUAGGCGGAAUGUGACAAGUAGCGGUGAAAUGCAUAGAUAUGUCACAGAACACCAAUUGCGAAGGCAGCUUACUAUGGUUAGAUUGACACUGAGGCACGAAAGCGUGGGGAUCAAACAGGAUUAGAUACCCUGGUAGUCCACGCCCUAAACGAUGAAUACUCGAUGUUGGCGAUAUACGGUCAGCGUCUAAGCGAAAGCGUUAAGUAUUCCACCUGGGGAGUACGCCCGCAAGGGUGAAACUCAAAGGAAUUGA
This 342-nucleotide ribosomal RNA is filed under the name uncultured bacterium. RNAcentral's name for it is "bacterial SSU rRNA". It matches the Rfam family "Bacterial small subunit ribosomal RNA", at positions 569 to 913 of the family's 1533-position model. The record is from RNAcentral.